RNAcentral lists this ribosomal RNA (164 nucleotides) under uncultured bacterium. RNAcentral describes it as "partial 16S rRNA". It matches the Rfam family "Bacterial small subunit ribosomal RNA", at positions 355 to 511 of the family's 1533-position model. The record is from RNAcentral.
UAGGGAAUCUUCCACAAUGGACGAAAGCCUGAUGGAGCAACGCCGCGUGAGUGAAGAAGGGUUUCGGCUCGUAAAACUCUGUUGUUAAAGAAGAACAUAUCUGAGAGUAACUGUUCAGGUAUUGACGGUAUUUAACCAGAAAGCCACGGCUAACUACGUGCUAG